Molecule: ribosomal RNA, 50 nt
Filed under: Chlamydia psittaci
Lineage: Bacteria; Pseudomonadati; Chlamydiota; Chlamydiia; Chlamydiales; Chlamydiaceae
Description: partial 23S ribosomal RNA
Source: RNAcentral
UUACAGACCAAGUUAGUAAGAGCUAUUGGUGGAUGCCUUGGCAUUGAAAG